GAUGAAGAACGUAGCGAAAUGCGAUAAGUAGUGUGAAUUGCAGAAUUCCGUGAAUCAUCGAAUCUUUGAACGCACAUUGCGCCUUCUGGUAUUCCGGAAGGCAUGCCUGUUCGAGAGUCAUUAACAACCGUUUCGAUCCCUUUCUUUCAGAAAUUACAAAGAGGAAAAGGGUUUGGUUAUGGUGGAGGAGGGAAAGGGAGCGUUUAGCCUGUAAAAAAAGAGGCUGUGUUCCGCCUCCCCCCCAAAAUUGUACAGGCGGUCGUGUGCGACCACGCAUCGAGGUGUUGUAAAAGCUGCCACGGCACUUUUCACCUGUGCAGUGCGAGAUUGGCCAGCCGGUUUAAAAACCCCUCCAAACAAUCAAAGGUUGACCUCGGAUCAGGUAGGGAUACCCGCUGAACUUAAGCAUAUCAAUAAGCGGAGGA
This 425-nucleotide unclassified non-coding RNA is filed under the name soil metagenome. RNAcentral's name for it is "partial contains 5.8S ribosomal RNA, internal transcribed spacer 2, and large subunit ribosomal RNA". The stretch from base 1 to 120 matches the Rfam family "5.8S ribosomal RNA", at positions 35 to 154 of the family's 154-position model. The record is from RNAcentral.